This 697-nucleotide long non-coding RNA is filed under the name Nicotiana tabacum (common tobacco). Its description in RNAcentral is "long non-coding RNA (NTAB_LNC013702)". Lineage: Eukaryota; Viridiplantae; Streptophyta; Magnoliopsida; Solanales; Solanaceae. The record is from RNAcentral.
GGGGGGGGGGUACAUUGGAAAAGACUAAAUAAACGCCACAAGAGAAAGCAUAACAGAAAAGACCUUUGGGAAGCAGAAGUGAGAUUGAGGCUCUGAAAAUCAUCCAAAGCGCCUGAAAAUUAACUCAAGGGGUCAGUUUCCAGUCUAAUUCAAUUCAAUUCAGUACAUGUUACAAGUAUGAAUUACUGAAACGGGGUAAAAGGGGAGCCACUUACUAUCAAGAAGUUGGUCUAACUCAUCAGAGUGGUCAGUAGCCAUGGAUUCCCCCUAUAGUAUAUUCUGUUUGUGUUUUUUCUGUUAGUGUAUUGCCAGAUAUCUUAUAAAAAUCCAAUCUUUGUGAAUGGGUGAUAGAUAAAAGCGAGAUGGUGCAAUUUAUAUAAAGGGUAAUGUAUACGCACGGUAAAGAUUUUUCUUGGGAAGGUACAGUUACGUGUUUUGGCGGAAAACCCGACAAAAAUACACUAGGGUUUUGCGCAUCCCGAGGUCAUCUAAUUGCCACAUAUUAUAAAAAUAAUUAUAUUGUGGAUGUUCAUUUAUUACUCCGCUAUAAAUAAUAUUCCUGAAUAAAAUUAUUCAUUUAGUACUCUGUUGAAGUUUAUCUACAAGCAGCUGAUGCAGGCAGGUUAUAAGCAGCUCAAUGAAAUGAUUUGCAGCAGCUUCUUAUUAAACAGGCAGGUUGCAAACAGCUCAUGUAGAC